Molecule: ribosomal RNA, 428 nt
Filed under: uncultured bacterium
Lineage: Bacteria
Description: partial 16S ribosomal RNA
Rfam family: Bacterial small subunit ribosomal RNA
Source: RNAcentral
GUGGGGAAUAUUGGGCAAUGGGCGCAAGCCUGACCCAGCAACGCCGCGUGAGGGAAGAAGGUUUUCGGAUUGUAAACCUCUGUCGCAGAUGACGAAGGAAGUGACGGUAAUCUGUGAGGAAGCCCCGGCUAACUACGUGCCAGCAGCCGCGGUAAUACGUAGGGGGCGAGCGUUGUCCGGAAUUACUGGGCGUAAAGGGAGCGUAGGCGGUCGAUUAAGUUGGAUGUGAAAUACCCGGGCUUAACUUGGGGGGUGCAUCCAAUACUGGUUGACUAGAGUACAGGAGAGGAAAGCGGAAUUCCUAGUGUAGCGGUGAAAUGCAUAGAUAUUAGGAGGAACAUCGGUGGCGAAGGCGGCUUUCUGGACUGACACUGACGCUGAGGCUCGAAAGCGUGGGGAGCAAACAGGAUUAGAUACCCCUGUAGUCC